GCCGGGGUAGCUCAAUCGGUAGAGCGUGUGGCUCUUAGCUUCACAGCGAGAUCACCUCAAGGGUGUGUACACUCCAGACUUGCACAGUGUAAUUGCAUGCAUUCUAACGCAAUUCACAGUCGUGGGUUCGAGCCCCACCUUCGGCU
This 146-nucleotide transfer RNA is filed under the name Dothistroma septosporum NZE10. RNAcentral's name for it is "tRNA-Lys for anticodon CUU". It matches the Rfam family "tRNA". Rfam says of the family: Transfer RNA (tRNA) molecules are approximately 80 nucleotides in length. Their secondary structure includes four short double-helical elements and three loops (D, anti-codon, and T loops). Further hydrogen bonds mediate the characteristic L-shaped molecular structure. tRNAs have two regions of fundamental functional importance: the anti-codon, which is responsible for specific mRNA codon recognition, and the 3' end, to which the tRNAs corresponding amino acid is attached (by aminoacyl-tRNA synthetases). tRNAs cope with the degeneracy of the genetic code in two manners: having more than one tRNA (with a specific anti-codon) for a particular amino acid; and 'wobble' base-pairing, i.e. permitting non-standard base-pairing at the 3rd anti-codon position. The record is from Rfam by way of RNAcentral. Lineage: Eukaryota; Fungi; Ascomycota; Dothideomycetes; Mycosphaerellales; Mycosphaerellaceae.